GUUGCGCCCGAAGCCAUUAGGCCGAGGGCACGCCUGCCUGGGCGUCA
Molecule: ribosomal RNA, 47 nt
Filed under: Valeriana hardwickii
Lineage: Eukaryota; Viridiplantae; Streptophyta; Magnoliopsida; Dipsacales; Caprifoliaceae
Description: partial 5.8S ribosomal RNA
Source: RNAcentral